AACCGUAAAAUUGCAGUUGAUACUGGAUAUCUUGAGUGCAGUUGAGGCAGGCGGGAUUCGUGGUGUAGCGGUGAAAUGCUUAGAUAUCACGAAGAACUCCGAUUGCGAAGGCAGCCUGCUAAGCUGCAACUGACAUUGAGGCUCGAAAGUGUGGGUAUCAAACAGGAUUAGAUACCCUGGUAGUCCACACGGUAAACGAUGAAUACUCGCUGUUUGCGAUAUACUGCAAGCGGCCAAGCGAAAGCGUUAAGUAUUCCACCUGGGGAGUACGCCGGCAACGGUGAAACUCAAAGGAAUUGACGGGGGCCCGCACAAGCGGAGGAACAUGUGGUUUAAUUCGAUGAUACGCGAGGAACCUUACCCGGGCUUAAAUUGCAGAUGAAUUACGGUGAAAGCCGUAAGCCGCAAGGCAUCUGUGAAGGUGCUGCAUGGUUGUCGUCAGCUCGUGCCGUGAGGUGUCGGCUUAAGUGCCAUAACGAGCGCAACCCUUGUUGUCAGUUACUAACAGGUUCCGCUGAGGACUCUGACAAGACUGCCAUCGUAAGAUGUGAGGAAGGUGGGGAUGACGUCAAAUCAGCACGGCCCUUACGUCCGGGGCUACACACGUGUUACAAUGGGGGGUACAGAGGGCCGCUACCACGCGAGUGGAUGCCAAUCCCAAAAACCUCUCUCAGUUCGGACUGGAGUCUGCAACCCGACUCCACGAAGCUGGAUUCGCUAGUAAUCGCGCAUCAGCCACGGCGCGGUGAAUACGUUCCCGGGCCUUGUACACACCGCCCGUCAAGCCAUGGGAGCCGGGGGUACCUGAAGUGCGUAACCGCGAGGAGCGCCCUAGGGUAAA
Molecule: ribosomal RNA, 841 nt
Filed under: uncultured organism
Description: SSU rRNA
Rfam family: Bacterial small subunit ribosomal RNA
Source: RNAcentral